UCGCUUUCAAUUUCAAUGCUUCCUAUAUUAAGCUGCCAUGCAAGAGAUAAUCCAUUCCUAAUUGCUCAUAGCUCCGCUUGAGCACUCAUGACCAAUUGGAUACGUCUAUGAAAACCACAAACUCAUUCUCCCUUAUGAAUCUUUGAAAUAGUCCCCGCUCCACCUUUGCCCAGAUUGUCGAUGAAGAAACCAUCAGUAACCCUCAAACUUCUCUCCCAUACAUCCUUGGUCUCAAAAAAAUCAUUGCCAAAAAUCUUCUUGUUCCUUCUAUUCCAAAAGCAC
This 282-nucleotide long non-coding RNA is filed under the name Gossypium raimondii (Peruvian cotton). Its description in RNAcentral is "long non-coding RNA (GRAI_LNC003213)". Lineage: Eukaryota; Viridiplantae; Streptophyta; Magnoliopsida; Malvales; Malvaceae. The record is from RNAcentral.